RNAcentral lists this ribosomal RNA (369 nucleotides) under uncultured organism. RNAcentral's name for it is "bacterial SSU rRNA". It matches the Rfam family "Bacterial small subunit ribosomal RNA", at positions 526 to 896 of the family's 1533-position model. The record is from RNAcentral.
CGGAGGGUGCAAGCGUUAUCCGGAUUCACUGGGUUUAAAGGGUGCGUAGGUGGGAUGGUAAGUCAGUGGUGAAAUCUCCAAGCUUAACUUGGAAACUGCCGUUGAUACUAUCAUUCUUGAAUCUCGUGGAGGUAAGCGGAAUAUGUCAUGUAGCGGUGAAAUGCUUAGAUAUGACAUAGAACACCGAUAGCGAAGGCAGCUUGCUACACGAGUAUUGACACUGAGGCACGAAAGGCGUGGGGAUCAAACAGGAUUAGAUACCCUGGUAGUCCACGCCCUAAACGAUGGAUACUCGACAUACGCGAUACACAGUGUGUGUCUGAGCGAAAGCAUUAAGUAUCCCACCUGGGAAGUACGACCGCAAGGUUG